GGGUUGUGAGGUUAAGCGACUAAGCGUACACGGUGGAUGCCCUGGCAGUCAGAGGCGAUGAAGGACGUGCUAAUCUGCGAUAAGCGUCGGUAAGGUGAUAUGAACCGUUAUAACCGGCGAUUUCCGAAUGGGGAAACCCAGUGUGAUUCGUCACACUAUCAUUAACUGAAUCCAUAGGUUAAUGAGGCGAACCGGGGGAACUGAAACAUCUAAGUACCCCGAGGAAAAGAAAUCAACCGAGAUUCCCCCAGUAGCGGCGAGCGAACGGGGAGGAGCCCAGAGCCUGAAUCAGUGUGUGUGUUAGUGGAAGCGUCUGGAAAGGCGCGCGAUACAGGGUGACAGCCCCGUACACAAAAAUGCACAUGCUGUGAGCUCGAUGAGUAGGGCGGGACACGUGGUAUCCUGUCUGAAUAUGGGGGGACCAUCCUCCAAGGCUAAAUACUCCUGACUGACCGAUAGUGAACCAGUACCGUGAGGGAAAGGCGAAAAGAACCCCGGCGAGGGGAGUGAAAAAGAACCUGAAACCGUGUACGUACAAGCAGUGGGAGCCUCUUUAUGGGGUGACUGCGUACCUUUUGUAUAAUGGGUCAGCGACUUAUAUUCUGUAGCAAGGUUAACCGAAUAGGGGAGCCGAAGGGAAACCGAGUCUUAACUGGGCGUUAAGUUGCAGGGUAUAGACCCGAAACCCGGUGAUCUAGCCAUGGGCAGGUUGAAGGUUGGGUAACACUAACUGGAGGACCGAACCGACUAAUGUUGAAAAAUUAGCGGAUGACUUGUGGCUGGGGGUGAAAGGCCAAUCAAACCGGGAGAUAGCUGGUUCUCCCCGAAAGCUAUUUAGGUAGCGCCUCGUGAAUUCAUCUCCGGGGGUAGAGCACUGUUUCGGCAAGGGGGUCAUCCCGACUUACCAACCCGAUGCAAACUGCGAAUACCGGAGAAUGUUAUCACGGGAGACACACGGCGGGUGCUAACGUCCGUCGUGAAGAGGGAAACAACCCAGACCGCCAGCUAAGGUCCCAAAGUCAUGGUUAAGUGGGAAACGAUGUGGGAAGGCCCAGACAGCCAGGAUGUUGGCUUAGAAGCAGCCAUCAUUUAAAGAAAGCGUAAUAGCUCACUGGUCGAGUCGGCCUGCGCGGAAGAUGUAACGGGGCUAAACCAUGCACCGAAGCUGCGGCAGCGACACUAUGUGUUGUUGGGUAGGGGAGCGUUCUGUAAGCCUGCGAAGGUGUACUGUGAGGUAUGCUGGAGGUAUCAGAAGUGCGAAUGCUGACAUAAGUAACGAUAAAGCGGGUGAAAAGCCCGCUCGCCGGAAGACCAAGGGUUCCUGUCCAACGUUAAUCGGGGCAGGGUGAGUCGACCCCUAAGGCGAGGCCGAAAGGCGUAGUCGAUGGGAAACAGGUUAAUAUUCCUGUACUUGGUGUUACUGCGAAGGGGGGACGGAGAAGGCUAUGUUGGCCGGGCGACGGUUGUCCCGGUUUAAGCGUGUAGGCUGGUUUUCCAGGCAAAUCCGGAAAAUCAAGGCUGAGGCGUGAUGACGAGGCACUACGGUGCUGAAGCAACAAAUGCCCUGCUUCCAGGAAAAGCCUCUAAGCAUCAGGUAACAUCAAAUCGUACCCCAAACCGACACAGGUGGUCAGGUAGAGAAUACCAAGGCGCUUGAGAGAACUCGGGUGAAGGAACUAGGCAAAAUGGUGCCGUAACUUCGGGAGAAGGCACGCUGAUAUGUAGGUGAAGCGACUUGCUCGUGGAGCUGAAAUCAGUCGAAGAUACCAGCUGGCUGCAACUGUUUAUUAAAAACACAGCACUGUGCAAACACGAAAGUGGACGUAUACGGUGUGACGCCUGCCCGGUGCCGGAAGGUUAAUUGAUGGGGUUAGCGGUAACGCGAAGCUCUUGAUCGAAGCCCCGGUAAACGGCGGCCGUAACUAUAACGGUCCUAAGGUAGCGAAAUUCCUUGUCGGGUAAGUUCCGACCUGCACGAAUGGCGUAAUGAUGGCCAGGCUGUCUCCACCCGAGACUCAGUGAAAUUGAACUCGCUGUGAAGAUGCAGUGUACCCGCGGCAAGACGGAAAGACCCCGUGAACCUUUACUAUAGCUUGACACUGAACAUUGAGCCUUGAUGUGUAGGAUAGGUGGGAGGCUUUGAAGUGUGGACGCCAGUCUGCAUGGAGCCGACCUUGAAAUACCACCCUUUAAUGUUUGAUGUUCUAACGUUGGCCCCUAAUCGGGGUUGCGGACAGUGUCUGGUGGGUAGUUUGACUGGGGCGGUCUCCUCCUAAAGAGUAACGGAGGAGCACGAAGGUUGGCUAAUCCUGGUCGGACAUCAGGAGGUUAGUGCAAUGGCAUAAGCCAGCUUGACUGCGAGCGUGACGGCGCGAGCAGGUGCGAAAGCAGGUCAUAGUGAUCCGGUGGUUCUGAAUGGAAGGGCCAUCGCUCAACGGAUAAAAGGUACUCCGGGGAUAACAGGCUGAUACCGCCCAAGAGUUCAUAUCGACGGCGGUGUUUGGCACCUCGAUGUCGGCUCAUCACAUCCUGGGGCUGAAGUAGGUCCCAAGGGUAUGGCUGUUCGCCAUUUAAAGUGGUACGCGAGCUGGGUUUAGAACGUCGUGAGACAGUUCGGUCCCUAUCUGCCGUGGGCGCUGGAGAACUGAGGGGGGCUGCUCCUAGUACGAGAGGACCGGAGUGGACGCAUCACUGGUGUUCGGGUUGUCAUGCCAAUGGCACUGCCCGGUAGCUAAAUGCGGAAGAGAUAAGUGCUGAAAGCAUCUAAGCACGAAACUUGCCCCGAGAUGAGUUCUCCCUGACUCCUUGAGAGUCCUGAAGGAACGUUGAAGACGACGACGUUGAUAGGCCGGGUGUGUAAGCGCAGCGAUGCGUUGAGCUAACCGGUACUAAUGAACCGUGAGGCUUAACCUUACAACGCCGAAG
RNAcentral lists this ribosomal RNA (2925 nucleotides) under Escherichia coli. RNAcentral describes it as "23S ribosomal RNA". It matches the Rfam family "Bacterial large subunit ribosomal RNA". The record is from RNAcentral. Lineage: Bacteria; Pseudomonadati; Pseudomonadota; Gammaproteobacteria; Enterobacterales; Enterobacteriaceae.